Molecule: ribosomal RNA, 462 nt
Filed under: Triticum aestivum (bread wheat)
Lineage: Eukaryota; Viridiplantae; Streptophyta; Magnoliopsida; Poales; Poaceae
Description: partial small subunit ribosomal RNA
Source: RNAcentral
AUGGCCGCCUCCCUUCUUUUGCACCUGUGCCUCGACCCGUUCCCCUCUGCCUCCUCAUCGUCCCCGACCCCAGCCACCGGAUCCGGCCGGAUCGAGCCGGCCCGCAUCCGCGUCCGCCAUCACCACCACCUUGCUCCGUCGCUCUCUGGACCAGCUCUGUUGCCAGGAGCCGCUGCCUCCCCGCGCCAUCCGGUCGUCGCGUUGUCAUCUCCAGCUACCUGCACCCUCACCUCCUCUGCUCAACGACUUUUGUGUCGCUCGAUUUGGACGUCGUUGAGCCUUUGUUCGUCAUCGUUUUCACCACGAGCCCAUGCCCGCUUCCUGCCACUGCUCAUGCACUGCCUGGCCUUCUUGCUUCCCACCAAAGGCCUUUUGGGCUACCAUGGUUUUGGAUCGACAAGGACGAGAACGCCAAGUACCACAACUACAGCCUGUGUGCAUUUUUGUCAAGUCCGACUAUGA